RNAcentral lists this ribosomal RNA (762 nucleotides) under Nitratidesulfovibrio vulgaris. RNAcentral describes it as "bacterial SSU rRNA". It matches the Rfam family "Bacterial small subunit ribosomal RNA", at positions 45 to 792 of the family's 1533-position model. Lineage: Bacteria; Pseudomonadati; Thermodesulfobacteriota; Desulfovibrionia; Desulfovibrionales; Desulfovibrionaceae. The record is from RNAcentral.
CGGCUUAACAUGCAAGUCGCGCGUGAAAGGACUUCGGUCCGAGUAAAGCGGCGCACGGGUGAGUAACGCGUGGAUGAUCUACCCAUGAGUUAGGAAUAACGGCUGGAAACGGUCGCUAAUACCGAAUACGCUCCGAUUUCAACUUCGGGGGAAAGGUGGCCUCUGCUUGCAAGCUACUGCUCAUGGAUGAGUCCGCGUCCCAUUAGCUAGUUGGUGGGGUAACGGCCCACCAAGGCGACGAUGGGUAGCCGGUCUGAGAGGAUGACCGGCCACACUGGGACUGGAACACGGCCCAGACUCCUACGGGAGGCAGCAGUGGGGAAUAUUGCGCAAUGGGCGAAAGCCUGACGCAGCGACGCCGCGUGAGGGAUGAAGGUCCUCGGAUCGUAAACCUCUGUCAGGAGGGAAGAACCGCCACGGUGCUAAUCAGCCGUGGUCUGACGGUACCUCCAAAGGAAGCACCGGCUAACUCCGUGCCAGCAGCCGCGGUAAUACGGAGGGUGCGAGCGUUAAUCGGAAUCACUGGGCGUAAAGCGCACGUAGGCUGCUUGGUAAGUCAGGGGUGAAAGCCCGCGGCUCAACCGCGGAAUUGCCUUUGAUACUGCCGAGCUAGAGUCCGGGAGAGGGUAGUGGAAUUCCAGGUGUAGGAGUGAAAUCCGUAGAGAUCUGGAGGAACAUCAGUGGCGAAGGCGACUACCUGGACCGGUACUGACGCUGAGGUGCGAAAGCGUGGGGAGCAGACAGGAUUAUAUACCCUGGGUA